This 343-nucleotide unclassified non-coding RNA is filed under the name soil metagenome. RNAcentral describes it as "partial contains 5.8S ribosomal RNA, internal transcribed spacer 2, and large subunit ribosomal RNA". The stretch from base 1 to 120 matches the Rfam family "5.8S ribosomal RNA", at positions 35 to 154 of the family's 154-position model. The record is from RNAcentral.
GAUGAAGAACGCAGCGAAAUGCGAUACGUAGUGUGAAUUGCAGAAUUCAGUGAAUCAUCGAAUCUUUGAACGCACAUUGCGCCCGCUAGUAUUCUGGCGGGCAUGCCUGUCCGAGCGUCAUUUCAACCCUCAAGCCCCCGGGCUUGGUGUUGGGGAUCGGCGAGCCUCCGCGCCCGCCGUCCCCUAAAUCUAGUGGCGGUCUCGCUGUAGCUUCCUCUGCGUAGUAGCACACCUCGCACUGGGAAACAGCGCGGCCACGCCGUUAAACCCCCAACUUCUGAACGUUUGACCUCGGAUCAGGUAGGAAUACCCGCUGAACUUAAGCAUAUCAAUAAGCGGAGGA